Non-coding RNA from Pangasianodon gigas (Mekong giant catfish), 74 nucleotides. Lineage: Eukaryota; Metazoa; Chordata; Actinopteri; Siluriformes; Pangasiidae. The record is from the annotation of a GenBank genome assembly.
GCCAGUUGUAGCUCAGUGGUUAAGACACCUGACUACUGAUCAGAAGGUUGUGAGUUCAAGUCCCAGCACUGCCA